CGGGUGAGUAACACGUGGCAACCUGGCUCAUAGAGGGGGAUAACAGAGAGAAAUUUCUGCUUAAUACCGCAUAAGCACACACUGCCGCAUGGCAGAGUGUGAAAAGAGAAUCGCUAUGAGAUGGACCCGCGUCUGAUUAGCCAGUUGGCAGGGUAAGAGCCUACCAAAGCGACGAUCAGUAGCCGAUCUGAGAGGAUGAACGGACACAUUGGGACUGAGACACGGCCCAAACUCCUACGGGAGGCAGCAGUGGGGAAUAUUGCACAAUGGGGGGAACCCUGAUGCAGCGACGCCGCGUGAGUGAAGAAGUAUUUCGGUAUGUAAAGCUCUAUCAGCAGGGAAGAUAAUGACAGUACCUGAAUAAGAAGCCCG
Molecule: ribosomal RNA, 372 nt
Filed under: Oribacterium sp. oral taxon 078
Lineage: Bacteria; Bacillati; Bacillota; Clostridia; Lachnospirales; Lachnospiraceae
Description: bacterial SSU rRNA
Rfam family: Bacterial small subunit ribosomal RNA
Source: RNAcentral